Molecule: transfer RNA, 67 nt
Filed under: Plautia lushanica
Lineage: Eukaryota; Metazoa; Arthropoda; Insecta; Hemiptera; Pentatomidae
Description: tRNA-Asn
Source: RNAcentral
UUAAUUGAAGCCAAAACGGAGGCCUUUCAUUGUUAAUGAAAUAAUUGAUUAUAUUAAUCCAAUUAAA